RNAcentral lists this ribosomal RNA (497 nucleotides) under uncultured bacterium. RNAcentral describes it as "partial 16S ribosomal RNA". It matches the Rfam family "Bacterial small subunit ribosomal RNA", at positions 28 to 507 of the family's 1533-position model. The record is from RNAcentral.
GAUGAACGCUGGCGGCGUGCCUAAUACAUGCAAGUCGAGCGAACAGACGAGGAGCUUGCUCCUCUGACGUUAGCGGCGGACGGGUGAGUAACACGUGGAUAACCUACCUAUAAGACUGGGAUAACUUCGGGAAACCGGAGCUAAUACCGGAUAAUAUAUUGAACCGCAUGGUUCAAUAGUGAAAGACGGUUUUGCUGUCUCUUAUAGAUGGAUCCGCGCCGCAUUAGCUAGUUGGUAAGGUAACGGCUUACCAAGGCAACGAUGCGUAGCCGACCUGAGAGGGGGAUCGGCCACACUGGAACGUAGACACGGUCCAGACUCCUACGGGAGGCAGCAGUAGGGAAUCUUCCGCAAUGGGCGAAAGCCUGACGGAGCAACGCCGCGGGAGUGAUGAAGGUCUUCGGAUCGUAAAACUCUGUUAUGAGGGAAGAACAAAUGUGUAAGUAACUAUGCACGUCUUGACGGUACCUAAUCAGAAAGCCACGGCUAACUACGUG